RNAcentral lists this long non-coding RNA (417 nucleotides) under Sorghum bicolor (sorghum). Its description in RNAcentral is "long non-coding RNA (SBIC_LNC004879)". Lineage: Eukaryota; Viridiplantae; Streptophyta; Magnoliopsida; Poales; Poaceae. The record is from RNAcentral.
GAGCUCAUAGGUGGGAGAUAAAAUAUACAUACUUACAAUACAUUUAUUGCAUAGUCAAACCAUGGAUCCAGAGAAACAAGUCAAUAAGUCAAUAUCAAGAUGUGCAUGUGUGGCGAAUGAAUGGUGUAUUGUGAUGAUGGUGAAAACAAUGGUGAAAGUCUAAUUCUACUUUUGCUCUUUUGAGGGGAUACAUACCUUUCUUGCACUUUGAAGCUUUUUGAGGAGAAUGAGAUGCUCUAUAUUUUGUUUUUCUUUUCUCUCAGGUGGGUAUCCUGUACCCCUAAUUCUACUGUUGGACAAUUACCUCUCGUCUCAAUUUUUCUUUUCUUCGAGGUUCUGGGCACUUGACCCUUUUUAUUUCCUCGUAUUCACUUUCUUUUAGAGCACUCACCCUCCUGGAAUAAUGUAGCAAGUGGU